Halichondria panicea is the source of this 804-nucleotide long non-coding RNA. RefSeq lists it as uncharacterized. The record is from RefSeq and is a predicted model, not a curated record. The transcript has 4 exons. NCBI's taxonomy places the organism in Eukaryota, Metazoa, Porifera, Demospongiae, Suberitida, Halichondriidae.
CUGCUCAACGGUUGCAAUGCGACGAAAACUAACAGCUUCUAUAGGCUUCUAGCCACGUUCUCUUGGAUUUUGAUUCGUGGAUUAGCAAACUAAAGCUUCUUUCUCGAGUUAUGGCUAGUUUGACUCACAUUGAAGGCUGUUGCAGAAUCUUUCAUAGCAUCAUCUGUCCGCACAAACUUUCUAUUCAACAUAUGAGUUAGCCUUGCACUAAAGCGCUAGCUUUUUGUUAGCUACAAUACUCAGAAAAUAUCUGUUAAAACAGCUAGCUAGCAGUUAGCCUCGAUUCCAGGCCGGUUCAAGCGGCCUGGAAUCGAGGCUAGCUAGUAGUCAUUUGUGAAAUUGAUCUCUUUGGACACACCCUUUAAUUAUUCCUGUGGAUGUAAUGCGCAUGCGCGCUCAUUCCCCACGUGUGUGAGAAAAUAAUAUCCAAGAUCCAGAUCCAGAUCCUCCUGGCAGAAUCAUCUUUGUCUUGAGGGCCUGGUCUUUUCUUCUUAGAUAUUAUAUACACUGAACUACAGAGAAUCAAUUUUCUUCUUUCUUGAUGUCCUGAGCUCAGCUUGCUGCAGAGAAGGGGAGGAGCUGGGAAGCCAAGGAAUGCAUUACUUCCCGAGCCCCACUCCUCACUGUCUGACUCGGAAGAGGAGAUAGAUUUUGGAUUCUGGGAGAAGGCGUCCACCCUACCCUCGGACAAGACCCCAACCAAGGACCUGAACUUGUUAUGAGACUGUUAUAUAUUAUUGUGUCUGUUUUUGUACGUACCACUUCAUGUCAUCAUAUUAACUAUGUACGAUGAAAUGUUGUUGC